AUUGAACGCUGGCGGCAUGCUUUACACAUGCAAGUCGAACGGUAACAGGCCGCAAGGUGCUGACGAGUGGCGAACGGGGGAGUAAUGCAUCGGAACGUGCCCAGUCGUGGGGGAUAACUACUCGAAAGAGUAGCUAAUACCGCAUACGAUCUAUGGAUGAAAGCGGGGGACCGUAAGGCCUCGCGCGAUUGGAGCGGCCGAUGUCAGAUUAGGUAGUUGGUGGGGUAAAGGCUCACCAAGCCAACGAUCUGUAGCUGGUCUGAGAGGACGACCAGCCACACUGGGACUGAGACACGGCCCAGACUCCUACGGGAGGCAGCAGUGGGGAAUUUUGGACAAUGGGCGCAAGCCUGAUCCAGCAAUGCCGCGUGGAGGAAGAAGGCCUUCGGGUUGUAAACUGCUUUUGUACGGAACGAAACGGCUCUGGUUAAUACCCGGGGCUAAUGACGGUACCGGAAGAAUAAGCACCGGCUAACUACGUG
Molecule: ribosomal RNA, 482 nt
Filed under: uncultured bacterium
Lineage: Bacteria
Description: partial 16S ribosomal RNA
Rfam family: Bacterial small subunit ribosomal RNA
Source: RNAcentral